Molecule: ribosomal RNA, 301 nt
Filed under: uncultured bacterium
Lineage: Bacteria
Description: partial 16S ribosomal RNA
Rfam family: Bacterial small subunit ribosomal RNA
Source: RNAcentral
CAGUAGCCGCGGUAAAACGAAGGGGGCUAGCGUUGUUCGGAAUUACUGGGCGUAAAGGGCGCGUAGGCGGCCAUUCAAGUUAGAUGUGAAAGCCCUGGGCUCAACCUAGGAAUUGCAUUUGAUACUGUUUGGCUUGAGUUCGGGAGAGGUGAGUGGAAUUCCCAGUGUAGAGGUGAAAUUCGUAGAUAUUGGGAAGAACACCAGUGGCGAAGGCGGCUCACUGGACCGACACUGACGCUGAGGCGCGAAAGCGUGGGGAGCAAACAGGAUUAGAUACCCCCGUAGUCCCUGUCUCUUAUAC